GGGUGGUAAUGCCGGAUGCUCCAGUUGAUCGCAUGGUCUUCUGGGAAAGCUUUCGCGGUAUGGGAUGGGGUCGCGUCCUAUCAGCUUGACGGCGGGGUAACGGCCCACCGUGGCUUCGACGGGUAGCCGGCCUGAGAGGGCGACCGGCCACAUUGGGACUGAGAUACGGCCCAGACUCCUACGGGAGGCAGCAGUGGGGAAUAUUGCACAAUGGGCGCAAGCCUGAUGCAGCGACGCCGCGUGAGGGAUGGAGGCCUUCGGGUUGUAAACCUCUUUUAUCGGGGAGCAAGCGUGAGUGAGUUUACCCGUUGAAUAAGCACCGGCUAACUACGUGCCAGCAGCCGCGGUAAUACGUAGGGUGCAAGCGUUAUCCGGAAUUAUUGGGCGUAAAGGGCUCGUAGGCGGUUCGUCGCGUCCGGUGUGAAAGUCCAUCGCUUAACGGUGGAUCCGCGCCGGGUACGGGCGGGCUUGAGUGCGGUAGGGGAGACUGGAAUUCCCGGUGUAACGGUGGAAUGU
RNAcentral lists this ribosomal RNA (516 nucleotides) under Bifidobacterium longum subsp. suillum. Its description in RNAcentral is "bacterial SSU rRNA". It matches the Rfam family "Bacterial small subunit ribosomal RNA", at positions 158 to 689 of the family's 1533-position model. The record is from RNAcentral. Lineage: Bacteria; Bacillati; Actinomycetota; Actinomycetes; Bifidobacteriales; Bifidobacteriaceae.